UUGCUUCGGCAGCAAAUAUACUAAAAUUGGAACGAUAUAGAGAAGAUUAGCAUGGCCCCUGAGCAAGGAUGACAUGCAAAUUCAUGAAGGGAUGGCUGCAUUU
Molecule: small nuclear RNA, 103 nt
Filed under: Octodon degus (degu)
Lineage: Eukaryota; Metazoa; Chordata; Mammalia; Rodentia; Octodontidae
Source: RNAcentral